This 470-nucleotide ribosomal RNA is filed under the name uncultured bacterium. Its description in RNAcentral is "bacterial SSU rRNA". It matches the Rfam family "Bacterial small subunit ribosomal RNA", at positions 28 to 381 of the family's 1533-position model. The record is from RNAcentral.
GAUGAACGCUGGCGGCGUGCUUAACACAUGCAAGUCGAGCGGGCAAUUUAUCUAGCACUGAUUACUUCAAAUGGAAAUCAUAAGUGUAAUCAUGAAUUUCUACCUUUAAUAAAGAAAAAGAAAUUCAUGUACGCAAAUAGUGAUAACACAUUUUAGUGGAGUGAUGAGUGCUGGAUAAAUUGCUAGCGGCGGACGGGUGCGUAACACGUGGGUAACCUGCCCCUAUCACUGGGAUAACACACUGAAAAGUGUGCUAAUACCAGAUAACAUAAGCUUUUGGCAUCAUUAGCUUAUCAAAGAAUUUCGGAUAGGGAUGGGCCCGCGUCUGAUUAGCUAGUUGGUGAGGUAACGGCUCACCAAGGCAACGAUCAGUAGCCGACCUGAGAGGGUGAUCGGCCACACUGGAACUGAGACACGGUCCAGACUCCUACGGGAGGCAGCAGUGGGGAAUAUUGCACAAUGGGCGAAAG